CUUGAGAGUGGCGAACGGGUGAGUAAUAUAUCGGAACGUGCCCAAUCGUGGGGGAUAACGUAGAGAAAUUUACGCUAAUACCGCAUACGAUCUAAGGAUGAAAGCGGGGGAUUCGCAAGAACCUCGCGCGAUUGGAGCGGCUGAUAUCAGAUUAGCUUGUUGGUGAGGUAAAAGCUCACCAAGGCGACGAUCUGUAGCUGGUUUGAGAGAACGACCAGCCACACUGGGACUGAGACACGGCCCAGACUCCUACGGGAGGCAGCAGUGGGGAAUUUUGGACAAUGGGCGAAAGCCUGAUCCAGCAAUGCCGCGUGUGGGAAGAAGGCCUUCGGGUUGUAAACCACUUUUGUACGGAACGAAACGGUCUGCUUUAAUACAGUGGGCUAAUGACGGUACCGUAAGAAUAAGCACCGGCUAACUACGUGCCAGCAGCCGCGGUAAUACGUAGGGUGCGAGCGUUAAUCGGAAUUACUGGGCGUAAAGCGUGCGCAGGCGGUUAUAUAAGACAGUUGUGAAAUCCCCGGGCUCAACCUGGGAAUUGCAUCUGUGACUGUAUAGCUAGAGUACGGUAGAGGGGGAUGGAAUUCCGCGUGUAGCAGUGAAAUGCGUAGAUAUGCGGAGGAACACCGAUGGCGAAGGCAAUCCCCUGGACCUG
RNAcentral lists this ribosomal RNA (655 nucleotides) under uncultured bacterium. RNAcentral describes it as "bacterial SSU rRNA". It matches the Rfam family "Bacterial small subunit ribosomal RNA", at positions 88 to 737 of the family's 1533-position model. The record is from RNAcentral.